CCGGCAGCGGCCUCCGCUACCACCGGCCUACCGCAUCGACAGGUUUGAUUCACAGGUACCUGUGAUGCCUCUGACAGAUUUGUGGAUCCUCCUACCAGUCAACCACUCGUGCACCGAUCCAGAGGGGACGAACCGCUAAUGGACUCGACUGCACGUGAAUUCACACCAGUGCCACGACUCAGCAUGGACUCCCUUCAUCUUGUGCACCUCAAGCUUCUGGCUGCCGACCUUCUCACACUAACUCCCCGACACACAUCACCACCUUCCUUUGUUCGCUGUGGCCAUACAGUUGCUCGUGCCGAGGUUGUUGGAGUUGUUGUUUCACGUGAUCGCAGGGAGAAGUUUCUCCGCUUCCUGGUUGAUGAUGGCACUGGUUGUGUACCAUGUGUCCUGUGGCUGAACCACCAGUACAUGAAUGCAAACAGUUCAUCCGGGGCACUAGAUUCUGAUCCUACUGGAGAGAUGGCAUUGAAAAUGUCGGAGGUGGUACGCCUCGGCACUCUGUUGAGGGUUCGUGGGAGGAUUGUUAUGUACCAUGGUGCAAUCCAAAUUGCUGCUAGAGACGUGGUUCUGGAGAAGGACCCUAAUGUGGAGGUUCUACAUUGGUUACAGUGUGUUCACAUGGCCAAGGAAUGUUAUGGUUUUCCACUACCUUCUGCUUGAGGUGUUCCUUGAGGAUCUCAUGCCCUGUAAUGAUCCCAAAUUUUCUGGUGUUUCUUUCUGUGGUUACUGUUGAGCCAAGUUCUUCUAACGCUAUCCAGGUUUGCAACUGCCUUAUGAUGUCUAAUGCAGAGCCUCCUAGUGGUAGCACACUUCAUUUGGGUGAAUUAUUGACGGAUCCGUGACUCUGAAUGGUACUGCAGCUGUUCUGUUUGAUGAUGAUUGACUCAUUUCACCUAGGACCUGAUAGAUCUGUGGCAACAGGCGGAGCUGAAGAGUUCACAUUUCCAGCAAUACCGAAAUUUGCUUCAUUUGUCGCGACAAAGUUAUGAUCUAUGUUGCUCUCUGCAUCCAUGGGUAAUAAGAUGGAUGCUCUCUUCAGACAGGGAAGUGUCGAGGUUCUUUCUUCCGCUCACGAUUUCCAUGACCACAACGCCAAAGCUAUAGACAUCGGCCUUCUCCGUGAUUUGUGAUGUCAACCAUUCAGGGGCUAGAUAACCAGAUGACCUGCAACACUGGACCCUGGAGGAUCAUGGGGGGUCGGCGAGCUGAGCAGGUCGGCGGCAGGUCAACAAUGGCAGCAACUAUGAGGGGGACAUAAUGUCUCGUGCACUAGUUUCGUGCAUUUUCAACCCGUCUAUCUCGACUACAAGUCGUCGUGUAAGCCAAGCUUUUUGAAAGUGGAAGAUUUGGAGGAAUAGACCAAAAGAAAGCAUGCACAUCAUCAUUCGCCAGCCCAUUCGUUUGAGGAUGAUGGUAUACUCAGUUUUACAUUCUCCAGUGAGCUUCUGCACGACUGUCAUUUAAAGGUCACCUCACUCGAAGCAUUUUUUCCGCAAAUACGUACAUGAACAUAUUUCAUGUAUGGCGGUGGGCAGCUGCCUGGAAGCAGCUGGGUGCCUCGUUGACUGGCCGUCAACGAGCCUUGUCUCACUGACCACAUAACUCUGUCAGGUUUGCUCGCUGACGAGGGUGGCCGAAACCUUGUGUUCUUUGUGGACAUCUGUAUUAAAUAGCGGAAGGUAAUUCUUGCGA
This is an RNA transcript of Triticum dicoccoides, 1695 nucleotides long. It is a transcript of the gene named CST complex subunit STN1-like, with no coding region annotated. NCBI's taxonomy places the organism in Eukaryota, Viridiplantae, Streptophyta, Magnoliopsida, Poales, Poaceae. The transcript has 6 exons. The record is from RefSeq and is a predicted model, not a curated record.